Non-coding RNA from Nicotiana tabacum (common tobacco), 821 nucleotides. The record is from RefSeq and is a predicted model, not a curated record. NCBI's taxonomy places the organism in Eukaryota, Viridiplantae, Streptophyta, Magnoliopsida, Solanales, Solanaceae.
UCUUUCUUCUUCCUCUCUCUUCUCACUCUCUCCGCUCUUCUUAGAGACCAGCCGUCCACUGCCCAUCUCCGCCGGCCGGAAAUUGCCGCCGCCGGCAGACGUCGUCUAAAGCCCAUAAAACCUAGACCAGUCUCUUCCUCUCACUCCCCUCUUUCCAAAUCCAUGAACCAAAUCCUCCAAAUAUUCACCAAUCUACAUAAAUUCGUAAAAAGAACCUAGCUUCUUUUGUCCCCAAAUUGAUGAAGUUCCACGCCCCAUUUUCAGAUAAUACUUGCAUAAACAUGUAUGUCUUGCUUUGUUCUAUCUCUCUGUAUUAGUUUCUAUCCCAAAUCCGACGACCAAAAUACGGCCGAAUUCCGGCGGCCACUCCACUAUCCCGCCACUACUGCCUUACCACUGCCUCAUUCUUUAAGCCUAUUCGAUCGGAAGACUCACGUUUCCUUCUAGUAUGACGCUAGAACAUAUUUGUUUCGGUGUCUACUAAAAGGAAGCUUGCGUUUCGGGGUCGGACAUUCAUUGGUUGAUAUCCUCGGCAUCUUUUAGUUGUGCGAUUUGGCCUUGAAUGUCCCUGACUGUUGCAGUUACACAAAGAGAAGAAGCGAGCAACAGCAGCAGUUACCACAGCGGCGAUCAACUGAGGACGAACCACAUUUAUCUUCCCGAUUUCAAAAAUUCAGCAAUCUAAUCCAAAAAAAUGACAUAGAUAAACAGUAAGUUGUAAUUUCAUGUGUUUCUAUCAAUUUUUAUUUCGCUAUAGUUAUACUUUUUUAGAUCUGUAUUGAUUUGAUUAUAUAUUAGAUAAGAAUUUGAUUUUUUUUGAA